AAAUUGAAGAGUUUGAUCAUGGCUCAGAUUGAACGCUGGCGGCAGGCCUAACACAUGCAAGUCGAACGGUAACAGGAAGCAGCUUGCUGCUUUGCUGACGAGUGGCGGACGGGUGAGUAAUGUCUGGGAAACUGCCUGAUGG
RNAcentral lists this ribosomal RNA (142 nucleotides) under Citrobacter koseri. RNAcentral describes it as "partial 16S ribosomal RNA". It matches the Rfam family "Bacterial small subunit ribosomal RNA", at positions 1 to 136 of the family's 1533-position model. RNAcentral also lists the same sequence under 26 other names. The record is from RNAcentral. Lineage: Bacteria; Pseudomonadati; Pseudomonadota; Gammaproteobacteria; Enterobacterales; Enterobacteriaceae.